This 63-nucleotide transfer RNA is filed under the name Scelimena sp. 1 XDL-2023a. RNAcentral's name for it is "tRNA-Arg". Lineage: Eukaryota; Metazoa; Arthropoda; Insecta; Orthoptera; Tetrigidae. The record is from RNAcentral.
CAAUAAGAAGCUGCACGAGCAAUCAGUUUCGACCUGAUUUAAUGGUAAAACUACCCUUAUUGA